UACGGAGGAUGCGAGCGUUAUCCGGAUUUAUUGGGUUUAAAGGGUGCGUAGGCGGACUGUCAAGUCAGCGGUAAAAUUGAGAGGCUCAACCUCUUCCCGCCGUUGAAACUGGUGGUCUUGAGUGGAUGAGAAGUACGCGGAAUGCGUGGUGUAGCGGUGAAAUGCAUAGAUAUCACGCAGAACUCCGAUUGCGAAGGCAGCGUACCGGCACCCAACUGACGCUGAGGCACGAAAGCGUGGGGAGCAAACAGG
This 252-nucleotide ribosomal RNA is filed under the name uncultured bacterium. RNAcentral describes it as "partial 16S ribosomal RNA". It matches the Rfam family "Bacterial small subunit ribosomal RNA", at positions 524 to 776 of the family's 1533-position model. The record is from RNAcentral.